GGAGAGAUUCCCGAGAUGGAUAAAGGGAUCAGACUGUAAAUCUGACGUUAAUUCUUCGCAGGUUCGAAUCCUGCUCUCUCCACCA
This 85-nucleotide transfer RNA is filed under the name compost metagenome. Its description in RNAcentral is "tRNA-Tyr". It matches the Rfam family "tRNA". From Rfam's summary of the family: Transfer RNA (tRNA) molecules are approximately 80 nucleotides in length. Their secondary structure includes four short double-helical elements and three loops (D, anti-codon, and T loops). The record is from RNAcentral.